AUAGCUUUAGGGCUAGCCUCAAGGUGAGAGAUACGGAGGUAGAGCACUGAAUGUCCUAGGGGGUAUUGCACCUACCGAAGACUAUCAAACUCCGAAUGCCGUCAUCUUAUACUUGGGAGUCAGACUGUGGGUGAUAAGAUUCAUAGUCGAAAGGGCAACAGCCCAGAUCGUCAGCUAAGGUCCCUAAAUGUAAGUUAAGUGGUAAAGGAUGUGGGAUUGCACAGACAACCAGGAUGUUGGCUUAGAAGCAGCCACUCAUUCAAAGAGUGCGUAAUAGCUCACUGGUCGAGUGAUCCUGCGCCGAAGAUUUCCGGGGCUAAAACUUACUACCGAAGCUACGGCAUCAGUAAUGAUGGGUAGGGGAGCUUCCCAGACGGGUUGAAGCAUGACCGUAAGGACAUGUGGACAGUAGGGGAGUGAGAAUGUUGGCAUGAGUAGCGAGAUGUGGGUGAGAAUCCCACAGGCCGUAUACCCAAGUUUUCCAGGUGAAGGUUCGUCCGCCCUGGGUUAGUCGGGACCUAAGCUGAGGCCGAAAGGCGUAGGUGAUGGACAACAGGUGGA
Molecule: ribosomal RNA, 561 nt
Filed under: Clostridioides difficile
Lineage: Bacteria; Bacillati; Bacillota; Clostridia; Peptostreptococcales; Peptostreptococcaceae
Description: bacterial LSU rRNA
Rfam family: Bacterial large subunit ribosomal RNA
Source: RNAcentral